GGCCCCUAAGAUUAGAAAGGCAGUAAAAAAAAAAAAACAAACAGAAGCUGAGAUUAAUAGAUAUGGCAGAGACUGAACACAAAAGAAAUGAAAGUUUGGCUUUAGGUUAAUCCUUUGGAAUGGCCGAAGAUGAAAUAAUUAAGGGGGCGAUUAUGCCAAACCCAAUCUUGAGGAAACUCCAAAGCUCUCCUCCUCGUUCUCAAACUGUCCCUCUCUCUCUCUCUCCCUCUGUCUCUGCAAGGUUAGUCG
This 249-nucleotide unclassified non-coding RNA is filed under the name Hevea brasiliensis (rubber tree). The record is from RNAcentral. Lineage: Eukaryota; Viridiplantae; Streptophyta; Magnoliopsida; Malpighiales; Euphorbiaceae.